UACUUACCUGGUCAUUUCUUCCAUCUACUUAAUGUUCAACAUCCAGACCUGAUCUGCCACAAUCUCUUUCUGACAGGAAAUAAUGAAAUGAUUGAUAUGCUACCUCAUUGCCCUUUACAGUCAUUGUCAGGGUCCCUGGUAUUGGAUUGUUGUUCUGGAAAGCUCUAUAGAGCACUGCUCAGCCAGUCGUCUUUAUUACAGCUUCUGCAGAACACUUGCUUAGACUGCGAGAAGAUGGCUGCGUUGCACUGUGCGCUCUACUGCGGUCAAGGUGCGCAGUUCCUGGAAGGCCAGAUUAUUCAAUGGAUUUCUGAGAAUGUCUCUGCCUGCCAUUCAUUUGACCUCAUUCAGGAAUUUAUAAUUGCUUCUUCAUACUGGAGUGUAUAUUCAGAGACAAGUAACAUGGACAAACUAUUGCCACAUUCCUCAGUGCUCACUUGGAAUACAGAAAUUCCUGGAAUAACUCUUGUGACAGAAGACAUUGCAUUGCCUCUUAUGAAGGUGCUCAGCUUUAAGGGCUACUGGGAAAAACUGAACUCCAACCUAGAAUAUGUUAAGUACGCCAAGCCACACUUCCACUAUAACAACAGUGUGGUCAGGAGAGAGUGGCACAACCUGAUCUCUGAAGAGGUAUGAGUGGGUCAGUGAGAACAAAGCCAGCAGCGAGGCAUAGUGGACUGGAUCCAGGUGAUGCCUUUAAAUCAUAAGGCUGGCUUCCAUGUGCAGCACUCUUCCCAAUUGCCAGGGACUUGAUCAUUGUCAUUACUGAUCUCAAUAGGCAGAGAUGCUUCUAUGAUCUCUGUUCUCCUAGGGAGGAAACUGAAAAGCAGAAAGUUUAAGGGGACACACAGCACAUUCAUAGUAGAAGUAUGAUUAAUAUCCAUGUCUCAGAUGUGUUCUCAGGUUACUUAUGUAGUUAAAAAUUGAUAUUAAAAAAUCUAGGUGUUCCCAACUUAGUGGUCAUUAGGGGUUGGGGUAGUUGGAGGGAGAAUAGUGGACGUGACUCACUGUCCAGGGGUGACCCAGGGAAAUCUUUGGGGGUGAUCGAAGACUUCUAUGUGUUGAUUGUGGUGGUACAUUGUGGGACAUGAAUCUAAACAUGAUAAAAUGACAUAGAAUGACACACACACACAUUGUGCCAAUGUCAAUUUUUGAUUUUGAUAUUGUGCUCUAGUUAGGUAAGAUAUAAGCACUGAGGAGACUGGGUGGAGGGUACAUUGCAUCUCUCUCUAGUAUCGCUGCAUGUAGAUUAGUGUUGUUGUGUGUAGUAUAUAGUUGACUCGCAGUUUCCUGUGAAUCUGUAAUUGUUUCAGAAUAAAAUAUUUCUUAAAACUUUAAAAAAAAUCUAGGUGUUCUGAUUACCUGGAAAGUAUAUUUCUUCUCUCUGAUGCUCUUAACUGUAUUGCAUUAUAUCCUUGAUGUGAAAAGUCACCGAUAAAACCUUUACCUUCCACAUUCCUGACGUGUUCUCACUCCUAGAAAACAGGAAAAAGAAGGUCCGCGGCAUACGUGAGGAAUAUUCUUGAUAAUGCAGUAAAGGUGAUUUCUAACCUAGAAGCAAGAAAUUUGGGGCCAAGAUUAACACCCCUCCUGCAGGAGGAAGACAGCCACCAGCGGCUGCUCAUGGGGCUGAUGGUGUCUGAGCUAAAAGACCAUUUUUUGAGACACCUACAGGGUGUAGAAAAGAAGAAAAUUGAACAGAUGGUUCUGGACUACAUUUCAAAACUGCUGGAUCUCAUUUGCCACAUCGUAGAAACCAGUUGGAGGAAACAUAAUCUUCAUUCCUGGGUUCUCCACUUCAAUAGUCGUGGCAGUGCUGCUGAAUUUGCAGUUUUUCACAUCAUGACCAGGAUUCUGGAAGCUACAAACAGUUUGUUUUUACCUCUGCCUCCUGGUUUUCAUACUCUGCACACCAUCCUCGGGGUCCAGUGUCUCCCUUUGCAUAACCUGCUGCAUUGCAUUGACAGUGGAGUGUUGCUUCUCACUGAAACAGCUGUCAUAAGGCUCAUGAAAGAUCUGGAUAAUACAGAGAAAAAUGAAAAACUGAAAUUCAGUAUCAUUGUGCGGCUUCCUCCGCUUAUUGGGCAGAAGAUUUGUAGACUUUGGGAUCAUCCUAUGAGUUCUAACAUCAUUUCACGGAACCACGUGACGCGACUGCUUCAGAACUAUAAGAAACAGCCUCGGAAUUCUAUGAUUAACAAGUCAUCGUUCAGUGUAGAAUUUCUGCCUCUGAACUACUUCAUUGAAAUUCUGACAGAUAUAGAGUCCUCCAAUCAAGCCCUGUAUCCUUUCGAAGGACAUGACAAUGUGGAUGCAGAAUUUGUAGAGGAAGCAGCUCUGAAACACACCGCGAUGCUUUUAGGCUUAUGAAAAAGAAAACGCAAUUGGAUCUGCUGCUGCCAUUUUAAUCUUGCUUAUUAACCUUACUCCUUUGAGAAUUCUUUAACAAUAUUUAAAAUUGGUAACAAAAAUAGUCUAGCCAUAAUUGUUUAGCCAUGUGAGUUUCAGGUUGGUACACGUUCAGACAGAACUGCUGUAUCACAUUCCAAUUUUGAAUAGCCAGCAAGCAAUCAAGUGUAGAGAAAUGAUAAAUGGCCUAAGAAGGCAUACAGUGGCAUAAACGAUGCUCUUCCUAGUAGCUUAAUAGGCCACAAGCUAGUUUCAGUUGCACUCUGAAAUAAAAUAUGCUUUAAAAAUGUAGGGAACAGUGCUUAGAAAAGCAAAAACUAGGUGUGUCAUUGAAAUAAUAGGCAUAACAAUUAAAUGUUACAUAAGAACACUAUUUGGAAAGAGGCUCCUUUUAAAAACUGAAUUUGUACUAAAUCAGAUUUGCCAUGUCCAGUACAGAAUAAUUUGUACUUAGUAUUUGCAGCAGGGUUUGUCUUUGUGAAUUCAGAUGAAACGUAUUUAAUUUUUUUUAUUUAUAAAAGGUUGAUCUAGGAAUAUUUUGUCAGUCAUUAAAAAACCUGAAAACAAA
Molecule: small RNA, 2977 nt
Filed under: Pan troglodytes (chimpanzee)
Lineage: Eukaryota; Metazoa; Chordata; Mammalia; Primates; Hominidae
Description: retained intron
Source: RNAcentral